AACUUAAGCAUAUCAAUAAGCGGAGGAAAAGAAACUAACAAGGAUUCCCCCAGUAACGGCGAGUGAAGAGGGAACAGCCCAAAUUUGUAAUCUGGCCCUUUCAGGGUCCGAGUUGUAAUCUCGAGAACUGUUUUCCGCAUUGGACCGCGUACAAGUCUGUUGGAAUAUAGCUUCAUAGAGGGUGAGAAUCCCGUAUAUGACGCGGACUACCAAUGCAUUGUGAUACAGUCUCUAAGAGUCGAGUUGUUUGGGAAUGCAGCUCAAAAUGGGUGGUAAAUUCCAUCUAAGGCUAAAUAUUGGCGAGAGACCGAUAGCGAACAAGUACCGUGAGGGAAAGAUGAAAAGCACUUUGGAAAGAGAGUUAACAGUACGUGAAAUUGUUGAAAGGGAAACGCUUGAAGUCAGUCUUGCACUUGGUUGUUCAGCCUUAGGGUGUAUUCAACUUUGAGCAGGCCAGCAUCAGUUUCAGAUGUCGGAUAAGGGURGGGGAAAAGUAGCAGCUUCGGCUGUGUUAUAGUCCCUUACUUGAUACGACGUCCGGGACUGAGGAACGCAGUGAGCCUUUUGGCGGGUUUUCGGACCUUCUCGCUAUGGAUGCUGGCGUAAUGGCUUUAAACUGACCCGUCUUGAAACACGGACCAAGGAGUCUAACAUGCUUGCGAGUGUUUGGGUGUCAAACCCGGGCGCGUAAUGAAAGUGAAUGUAGGUGGGAAGCGCAAGCUGCACCAUCGACCGGUCCGGAUUUUUAAUGAUGGAUCUGAGUAAGAGCAAGUAUGUUGGGACCCGAAAGAUGGUGAACUAUGCCUGAAUAGGGUGAAGCCAGAGGAAACACUGGUGGAGGCUCGUAGCGGUUCUGACGUGCAAAUCGAUCGUCGAAUUUGGGU
This 884-nucleotide ribosomal RNA is filed under the name Septobasidium burtii. RNAcentral describes it as "eukaryotic LSU rRNA". It matches the Rfam family "Eukaryotic large subunit ribosomal RNA", at positions 31 to 916 of the family's 3401-position model. Lineage: Eukaryota; Fungi; Basidiomycota; Pucciniomycetes; Septobasidiales; Septobasidiaceae. The record is from RNAcentral.